AACGCGCUGGGGUCCCAUUCCGUGUUGUGGGGGUUUUUUUCUUUAGCUCUUCGCAAUAAAUCUUGCUGCUGCUCACUCUUUGGGUCCACGCCCCUUUAUGAGCUGUAACACUCACCGCGAAGGUCUGCAGCUUCACUCCUGAAGUCAGCAAGACCACAAACCCACCAGGAGGAAUGACCAACUCCGGACGGCCACCUUUAUGAACUGUAACACUCACCGCGAAGGUCUGCAGCUUCACUCCUGAAGUCAGGGAGACCACGAACCCACUAGGAGGAAGAAACUCGGGACUCGCCCGAACAUCGGAAGGAACAAACUCCAGACACACCAUCUUUUAAGAACUGUAACACUCACUGCGAGAGUUUGCGGCUUCAUUCUUGAAGUCAGCGAGAUCAAGAACCCACCAAUUCCGGACACAAUACCUUACAGACUCUGAAUGUUCAGUAUUACUUUAUUUCCUUCCAAUCAUAAAUGUUAAACUGAUAGAGAUUUCAAGUUCUAUAUGUUGAUAAGUUGCAUAAGAUAAUUUCGGCUUUAUGUUUUGACAUUAUUUUCAUGUAGGUAUUUUAUAGAUUAGCAUAAAAUAUUACGUAUUUUUAUAAUUUGAAAAGAUAUUGAAAACUGUGUUUUACUUUUUCUGGCUUUUAUUUUUAUUCUUGAACACCAUGGUCAAUUGCUUUUUUACUUUCAUUUCUCAACUUGUUUGGACAAAUUUUGCAAAGAUAUUCUUACCCUUGGCCUCUCCCGACAAAUUCCUCUCAUAAGUAAAUAUUAUCUUGAGAAUGUGUGGACUCUUAUGUAGAAAAAGAACAACAUAAACUCAAUGUUUAUUAAAAAACGUGAGAUUACAAAUGACUUUUUUAAAAAGGGAAUCAAAUUUCAUUUCAGGAAACUUACUAGAAAAAAAUUCUUAUGAACACCUAAACUAGUGUAAGUGUGUUAUUCUGUGAAAACAGUAAUUCCUUAUUUCAAAAAUAGUUUCUAAUAAAAGAACCUGGAUUAUAUAGCUACUCAAGUUGAACAGAUGAUCACAAAGAACCUUAACUGUAACCAUAUUUAGCUAUCAAAAAUAGAAAGGAAAUUUUGGUUAUAGUUCUCUGUCCCACAUUUAAUUUAAAAGAAUAAUGGCUAUUUGUUAUCAAAGUAUUUUAAUACAUUUCUUAUGUCUGCCCAUCUAAAAUGAAAACUUUUAUUUCCAUAAAGUUUUGUAUAACAUGUCUUAAAUGAAUGUGCAGUCAUAACUGCAUUCGGUUACUAAAGGAACUAAUAAUUCAUAAAUUGCAUUUAUUUGUAUGUUACUAACAUUAAAAAGAGAUGUUUUGUCAUGUUUAUAAUGAUCGUCAUGUAUAUAAUGAUAUAUGUUUAUAAUGAUGACAUCAUCGUCAUUGUAAGAUUAGCUAAACUCUUUGUCCUUCAGUAUAAAAAUUAAAGCCAGUAUAUUAUUUUU
This 1444-nucleotide long non-coding RNA is filed under the name Homo sapiens (human). RNAcentral describes it as "non-protein coding lnc-PCDH18-5:1". The record is from RNAcentral. Lineage: Eukaryota; Metazoa; Chordata; Mammalia; Primates; Hominidae.